This 3767-nucleotide long non-coding RNA is filed under the name Olea europaea subsp. europaea. Lineage: Eukaryota; Viridiplantae; Streptophyta; Magnoliopsida; Lamiales; Oleaceae. The record is from RNAcentral.
CAACCUCUUACAAACCAAGAACAGCAACACUAGGAUUGAGAAAACUAUAGCUAACGAAUAAUAGAUGUAGAAUCUCCAAACACGAACUUCAAAACCCCGCACUUUUAUUCUUCUUCUCGUUCUUCAAAACCUACGUCUAGGAUUUAACAUUUUUUAUUUUUUAUGUAUUUAUCUCCAAGAAUGUCUACUCUUUUUAAUAAAUAAGACUUAGGUAUAUAUAGGUGUGGGGUUCAUAAAAUCAUAGAAUUUUCAUGUGUAUUUUGAACAACAUUAAUCUUCAAGUCUCCUUAAACAGAUACAACUUUGCGGGCUCAGGGGAGAGUUUUGCUCGAGUGAGCCUUGCUUAGCUCUAGUGAAAAUCAAGAUUUCUCAAUUUCUCAUUCUUCACUUGAAUGAGAGAGAGAUGGACAUUUUUUUCUGGUUUUACUCAAGGGAAAGUAAUUUCGCUCGGGCAAAAUUAUUUAGGGUCCGUUUGAUAGCAUUAAAUUCCAUGAAAAAUGUCACAUCCGAGAAAUUCGUUUUCUACUUUGGCUGUUUGAUACUAAAGCGAAAAUAAAGUUCGAAUUCCAAAGUACAAAUAUUUAAAGUAUGUUUUUGGCUAAUUGAGUGGAAAUCGAAUUCUUAUAAUUUUGGUAGUUUUUUCUUUUCCAUCUUACAUGGAAUUGGUUUACAUUUUCUACCUUUACGAUCAAACGGACUCUUUGCUCCAAAAUGUUACGUAUCACUUUCUUAUCUUCUUCAGCCUUUGGGAACUCGACUUUUUUCCUUGCCAACUUCGUCCUCACUUGAAUAUACUCAUUUCUUCUCAUCUUCAUCAUAUUUAUCAUCAAUGAUCCUCGAGCUCAAGUUUCUCCUAAAACAACAACAUUGAACCAAAAAUCAACAGAAAUCGAAUCCUACACACUAACAAAGUACUGUAACAAGGUUGAGAAAAGUGUAGAUUUUACCGUUAUCAGUAUCUCCACAACUUUUGAUUUGAUUCACGAUCUGAAACUGGUGUAGAGAAAUAGCCAACUUUUUCGCUUUUUUCCAUGUUUAGAUUGUCAAAAUCCUUCCAAAACGAUUGAGGCUUCAGAGUAAUUGCUUGACUAUUCCAAUAAUGUAAUUGUUCUCCUUCAAAAAUAAGAGUAGAAGGCAGAAUUUGAUGCCAUUUGGCUGAAUUUUUAUAUAAUAAUUCAAAUAAAUUGAAGCUGCUCCUUCACUGGCACUACAAGAUUUAGGCAGAAAAAAUCGCUGGCGGUGCAAGGUCCAAAUUUUUUAUCAAGCGACACAUUCCACAAAGAAUAACAUUUACUGAAUUUUAAAAUUCAAAAAUCUGCUAGGAUACAUUUUUUAAAUCCUUCCUGCGUUCUAUACCAAAUUUAUUGAUUAGUUGGGUAAAAUUGAUUAUCACUUGGAUCAGAUAGGUUAAAAACAAAACCCUUCGUGUCCACCAAUUCCCUCCUUCAAAAUGAAUAGUGAUGCCAUGAAUAAAUGGCACUGAAGCUUAAUCAAAAUUCUCGGAACUCCGAGUCUGAAAUGCAUUAUUCUUGAAAUGGUUUCUCCUUGCAAUUAAAAACAACAAAGUGCAUUGAAGUUUGGGUUGGGGUGGGAGGAUAGAAUCUACUUUUAAGCACAGUCUGAGCACAAUGUCUCUUCCUCUUUUUCUCUUUUUAUUCUUUUUAGACAAAGCUGAUUUAUAGGGGGAAUGUUCUGGUUAGUGCAUACUAGCUAGGCUGUGGAGUUGAUGGGUAGGGUUUGUGUUUGGGAGAUGAUUAAGUGAUUGAAUCAUUGCCAAAUCCAAUUGGUCUGAGGAUAUCUUCAAAGUAAUCACUUUUUCUUUAUGUCAGAAUCCCAACUAUCCUUUUGACCUGCAUUGACUGUAAAAUUUACCCUACCUACCAACUAAAGAAAAAGAUGCAAAUAGCACUGCAUGUAUUUUAUUUUAGUGGGUGAGAGAGAGAAUGGGGAGAGAGAAGAGACAGAGUGGGAUCAUUUCUUAGAUUUUAUUUUGUUCAUUGAAAAAAAAAAAAAACGAUAAAAAUCGAUAGGUUCAUGGAUGCCAUGAAUUCUUGAGAAAGACCAUAUUUUCUGUGGUCCGCUCAUCUAUUUCUUUAUAUUAAUAUGGCUUUAACUCGAAAUUGAGUGAUUUAAUAAAAAGAUGACAACUUCAUUUCUUAGUAAAAUGAGAUUCCCUAGUUACAGAAAAGCCACAAUCACGGUUGCAAUUCCCUUUUGCUUUCUCAUAUUAGUUGCUUAAGCCCUGCCCAUACAUACACAAGACGGCCAAAUACACGUUUAUUGGCUAAGCGCUAUCCCAAAUUCUAUGCAGAUGAACCUAAACUUUUAAGUACAUCUACCUCUCUAUUAUAUCUACAUAUUAACCUAGAAAGUCAUGAACUCAUCCAAUUGACUAUGUGGCAUAUGGUAGUACUCCAUCAUAGCCGUAUACAUCUGUGGAUGCACAGCUAUCUAUACUAUUUCAGUAAAAAGAAUAUAAAAUAUACAUUGUCCUUUGGCCUCUUUUAUCAAUGUAAUAAAGUAAAGAGGGAUUAGAUGAACUUGAACAAGGUUGAUGCUAUACAGCCACCAUUAUAUAUUUCAUGGGACUCACAUUUUUAUCAAGUCAUAACCAUGUAUUUUAUCAAUUUUUAUCAAAAUCUAUUAAAUAUCUUAUUUUUAUCAAAACCACUAACACAUUAGACACAACAAUGAAAAAAAGUUCAAGGAAAUGGUGCACCAAGAUGAUAAUACAACAGAGAUUUCUAUCAAAAUGAUGUACUGUAAAGUGACUGGGUAUCAUAAGAUUUGUAACUUUCAUGUUGUCUGUUUAUAAAGAAUGAGGAUACCCUUAACGGAACAUGAACAACAUAUAAUUGUGCAGGCAGCACAGGCUCCUUGUUCCUCGUGAAGUGAUUUGACACAAGUCUAAUGGAAAACUGUCGUGUAAUUCUCUGUCAGAUGGAAUCAUUUUCCCAUAAGCAUAUUUCACUUUCAUUCUUACGACUCUAGAUCAUUUUCUGCAGCUAACAUAUGUUUUUUAGUAACAAGAUAAUAUUUGAUAAACAAAAAUUUCAAGACUUAUUACAUAAAAGAUGGAAAGAAGAUUAAGGGAUUACUUGGAUUUAAUUAAAUUUAUUUAUCUUCCAUGAAAAUAUAAUACAAUUGUAGCGAAGACGAUAGAAGCGAGGCAUAGAGAAAGAGAGUUACCGUGUAUACGAUAUGUGAAUAUGCUUGGCUCCUCAUACGCCAUACACGGAGGGCCAUCGGUUCUUCGGUGGGCUCUGCAAAUGGCAUACAGGGAGCCAGGCAUAUACGUAUACUUGGACAUUUGUAGUACACAAACUGUUUAUACAUUCUUAUGAAACCUAGUUAGUGUGUGUAAAUCUCAUAUGCAAAAUUUCACUCUAUAGAAUAGCAGCCGAAGGUGGUAAUUCAUCGGGUUUUGCUAGGUACAUAUAUUUGAAGAUUCAAGAAAGAGGAAGAGCUUUGGAGGAUCAAAAUUGGGUCAAAUUAAAGAAGAAAGAAAACCCUAUAACCCCUUCAAUCCUUUUGAAAAGAACCACCAAACCCUUUUGAAAAACAAGCACGGCUAAAUAAACUAGUGGCUCACACAAAAAACGUAUGGAAAGAAUUAGGUUUGUGGGUACGAAGUUGUAUCCAAGGGUGCCACUAAAUAUAGAAGUACACAGUGAGAAAGAUGGAGGUAGGUUGGGGGUGGGGUGGAGUGAGGUUGAGGGGGAAAAUCAGGGUUGUAAAGCAAAUGUUACUUUUCUCUUCUGAAGCUC